Molecule: transfer RNA, 76 nt
Filed under: Prevotella sp.
Lineage: Bacteria; Pseudomonadati; Bacteroidota; Bacteroidia; Bacteroidales; Prevotellaceae
Description: tRNA-Thr
Source: RNAcentral
GCCGGCGUAGUUCAGUUAGCAGAACAACUCUUUCGUAAAGAGUAGGUCAGUGGUGCAAGUCCACUCGUCGGCUCCA